CCUACGGGUGGCAGCAGUGAGGAAUAUUGGUCAAUGGACGAAAGUCUGAACCAGCCAAGCAGCGUGCAGGAUGACGGCCCUAUGAGUUGUAAACUGCUUUUGUAAAAGGGUAAACCCAGACACGUGUACCGUGUUGCAAGUAUCGUAUGAAUAAGGAUCGGCUAACUCCGUGCCAGCAGCCGCGGUAAUACGGAGGAUCCAAGCGUUAUCCGGAUUUAUUGGGUUUAAAGGGUGCGUAGAUGGUUCGUUAAGUUAGUUGUGAAAUCCCGGGGCUCAACUGCGGCAUUGCCAUUGAUACUGUCGGGCUAGAGUAUAGUUGAGGUAGGCGGAAUGUGUGGUGUAGCGGUGAAAUGCUUAGAGAUCAUGCAGAACCCCGAUUGCGAAGGCAGCUUACCAAACUGCGACUGACGUUGAUGCACGAAAGUGUGGGGAGCAAACAGGAUUAGAUACCCUUGUAGUC
This 460-nucleotide ribosomal RNA is filed under the name uncultured bacterium. RNAcentral describes it as "partial 16S ribosomal RNA". It matches the Rfam family "Bacterial small subunit ribosomal RNA", at positions 338 to 795 of the family's 1533-position model. The record is from RNAcentral.